UCCAGAGGAAGGCUCGUCCGCUCUGGGUUAGUCGGGUCCUAAGCUGAGGCCGACAGGCGUAGGCGAUGGAUAACAGGUUGAUAUUCCUGUACCACCUAGUAUCGUUUUAAUCGAUGGGGGGACGCAGUAGGAUAGGCGAAGCGUGCUGUUGGAGUGCACGUCCAAGCAGUAAGGCUGAGUGUUAGGCAAAUCCGGCACUCAUAAGGCUGAGCUGUGAUGGGGA
RNAcentral lists this ribosomal RNA (223 nucleotides) under Staphylococcus epidermidis. Its description in RNAcentral is "partial 23S ribosomal RNA". It matches the Rfam family "Bacterial large subunit ribosomal RNA", at positions 1353 to 1572 of the family's 2925-position model. The record is from RNAcentral. Lineage: Bacteria; Bacillati; Bacillota; Bacilli; Caryophanales; Staphylococcaceae.